CGCCUGUUUAUCAAAAACAUCUUUUCUUGUUAGUUUUUGAAGUAUGGCCUGCCCGCUGACUUUGGUGUUGAAGGGCCGCGGUAUUUUGACCGUGCAAAGGUAGCAUAGUCAUUAGUUCUUUAAUUGUGAUCUGGUAUGAAUGGCUUGACGAGGCAUGGGCUGUCUUAAUUUUGAAUUGCUUAUUGAAUUUGGUCUUUGAGUUAAAAUUCUUAGAUGUUUUUAUGGGACGAGAAGACCCUAUAGAGUUUGACAUUUAUUAUGGUCUCUUUCUGUUUGUGAGGGUUCACUGGGCCAUUUAAUAUGUUUUGUUGGGGUGAUGGGAGGGAUAUAAUUUAACCCCUCCUUUGUGUUUUUAUAUUUAUUUAUAUUUGUUUGAUCCAUUUAUUUUGAUUGUAAGAUUAAAUUACCUUAGGGAUAACAGCGUAA
This 426-nucleotide ribosomal RNA is filed under the name Reticulitermes virginicus (dark southern subterranean termite). RNAcentral's name for it is "partial 16S ribosomal RNA". It matches the Rfam family "Bacterial large subunit ribosomal RNA", at positions 1797 to 2485 of the family's 2925-position model. The record is from RNAcentral. Lineage: Eukaryota; Metazoa; Arthropoda; Insecta; Blattodea; Rhinotermitidae.